CCAGAGAUGUUCUGCAAACCUGGAGGAAAACAACAUCACUCUUCGUUCCCGUUUAGUCCAAGCGUGAUCUCAGCCAUCGGACAUGUUGUUAUAAAGUGCCGGCCUGGCAUCUGGAUUUAAGAAGCCUGCUGAGUCAGUGCUGAGCGUUGCACAACACUGCUCAGUGGAAUCGUGUGAAACGUUAGCCUUGAUCCUCUGAGCCUAAAUCAGAUGACACGCGGCUGAGGACGCUGGGUAAUCUCGGCUCUGGAGCGCGGAGUCAAACCUAAAGAGGAGCCAUCAAUGCAAAAGAAAAGAACUCGUGGAGUUUCUACUGUGAGAAAAAUCGGAGAAGAAUGACAAAAUCCAUGCCGGCUGUGAUUAAUGAAACUGAUGUCAAGGGACGGAUCCCACGGCAGCCAUCUUUAAAAGCCUCGCACAAAAAAAAAUAAAACAAAAAAGCGAUGAUUUUCAACAGUCCUCUAACACGAUCCAUUAAAAUUCCUGCCUUUUGCACUGAUACGAUCAGCUGAAGUCCAGACUGGACAUAAUGAGCCAGCAGAGGAUCACAUAACAUGGCCGGCUAGUUAAUUAUGUGAACUAAGGCAUGUUGUCUUAUCUAAAUGCGCUAAAAAUAGCCUGCUGACAUGGCUGAACCGCUGGCUGCAUCACCCAGGAGGAUGGAAACACUUUUGUUUUUAAGCCUAAUGAACAAACCAUCAACUGCCACUCACAGGAUAUCUAAAAAUCACUUCACACUCGCUCUAAAUCGUCAGGCUACAUUUGAGAGGAACAACGUUGAACAAGCAUCCACUUUAAGCUGCUCCUCCCAUAGAAAAUGUGUUUAAAAGGAUAAGGACGCCAUUGGUUUUUGAGUUUUGGUCCGUCCUUCGCAUGUGGGCUGAAGGAAUCCACAGAUACAGUCAAGUCUUACCACAGAGACGGUCUUGGAGAGCAGGUCCAGAACUUUUAUUUGAUGGUUGUUGGUGUCUGCCACAUAAAGCAGCUUCCCCUCACCGCCAACGCAGAUUCCUCCAGGUUCAUUAAAGCAGGAUUCAGUCAAUUCUGGACCCAAGGAAUCUCCGGCCUCUCCGGUCCCUGCUAGCGUGCUGCAAACCUUUGUCUUCGGAUCCACCACCUUGAUCUGACGCACGUAAUCAAACCAGACCAAAACUGCUUUAACAACAACAGCCUGGGGUAAAUGCAAGAACCAUAAACCAAAGCGACCCCGUGACGUGCGUCGGCUACCUUGUGGUUGUAGGAGUCCGCCACAUAAAGCAAGCUUUGUCGAGGAGACCAAGCCACACCGAGAGGAUGCUGCAGUUUGGCUUCCACCCCUUUGCCGUCUGCAUCCCCAAAAGCAAAAAGGUUCUAGAUCACAGAAGAGAAAAAAGAUGUUCACAUGAUAUUAAACAAAAAUAUUUAAAAAAAAAGCCUUGAAACUGCAUCUUUGUUUGCCCCAAAUCAUAAGAUCAGAAAAGAAAAAAGAAAAAGAAAAGGUGAAAUAUCUGUUGAAAACAGGUUGAUGAUUAUCAAUGAGGACAAGUUUGUUUCUUUUUAACAAAUAUCCAUCUUUACGCACCAGAGCAGUUCCUACUAGACCAAAGUUCAAACUGUAGAAAAAAAACUUCUGAGAUUUAGAAAGCAGGAUGUCAGGAUAUAUAAAUAUCAAUUACACACACAAAAAAUCUGAAAGAAACUUCUUUUUUUGUUGUUGGUGGUACAUCAAGAGGAAAAAACUGCAGUAAAUGUGGCUGCAAAUCAACUGAAACCUUGCAAAUAAAUCACUAUUACAGGAAAUAUAUUUUCAGUUUGUGAGAAAUUGGGGACAACUUUUUAUAUGUAUAACUCUAAAUCAGCACCAUUGAACAUUUUUUGUGUAAUUAGGAGCAAAAAGCCGUGUCACACUUACAUUUUGCAUGGAUGAAAGUUGGUCAUACAUGAAAUACAGUUGCUUUUUUAGCUUAUUUUUGUCUAUUUGGAAGCUUGUACGGAACUUUCCUUGAUUCUAGAUAAUAUAAGAUUUCUGGUAAAGUAGAUCAUUUUACUAUUUUCAGGCGAUUUUUUUAUAUUCUAUUUUCUAUUAGUGUUAUUUCACUUAAAAAACUAUAUUCAACAAAAAAUACUCAUCAUAACGUUUAUUUUAUUUUCAGGUUUAAACGAAAAUAUUAAUAUUUUUUAGAGUAGUUAGAGUUGUCAGAAGUGUUGGAUUUCUCCAAAAAAUACAAACAGUAUACAGUUCAGAAAUCCUGCAGGAAAACAAAAGCGCCUCUUUCUAAAAUAGAUCUUCAGGGGCAGCAGCAAAAAAAAAAAAAGUAUUUUUUUCUUUGUUGUUUUGU
Non-coding RNA from Oryzias latipes (Japanese medaka), 2318 nucleotides. The record is from RefSeq and is a predicted model, not a curated record. NCBI's taxonomy places the organism in Eukaryota, Metazoa, Chordata, Actinopteri, Beloniformes, Adrianichthyidae.